AAGCUCGUAGUUGAAUUUCGGGGUUCUACCGUUGGUCGGGCAAUAGUCUGUACUGGCGUGUAGAAUUUCUACCUUCUGGGGAACCAUCAUGUUAUUUAUUUAGCGUGGUGGGAAACCAGGACCUUUACCUUGAAAAAAAUUAGAGUGUUCAAAGCAGGCUUACGUCUGAAUACAUUAGCAUGGAAUAAUAAAAUAGGACGGUGGUCCUGUUUUGUUGGUUUCUGAAUCACCGUAUGAUUAAUAGGGAUAGUUGGG
Molecule: ribosomal RNA, 255 nt
Filed under: uncultured Gigaspora
Lineage: Eukaryota; Fungi; Glomeromycota; Glomeromycetes; Diversisporales; Gigasporaceae
Description: partial 18S ribosomal RNA
Rfam family: Eukaryotic small subunit ribosomal RNA
Source: RNAcentral